AUAACGAUAAACUAGAAGCUAAAAUCAUCCGGUAGGAAAUGUCAAUAGUAAAUCUAUACUGACUUUCAAUUGACUUUGUCACCAGAACUACAGAUAAAUUGUACUGUACGACACGGGAUAGCUGUGAGCACCACCCAGGGUGGAACAUUGAGGUCCGAUUUGUGUGGUGUUUAUUGCUGUCGCCAGAAGUUUAGCUGCGUCCACAGGUUGUGGAUAGUGGAAUGCUCCAUACGGAGUAGCUGCAACGGCAGUCGCGGACAAUCAGCGGUAUCGAGCGUAGAGUCUCAGGGAGAGGUCGGGCGGCACCGGCUCUUGUGGCAAAUACUGAGUUCCUAUGAUUUUCGAUAUAACAAGGAGAGCUAUUGGUACUUUGGACCGAAAAGAGCUUGCUCACCUACAGGAGCUUGACGAGGAUCGCCACGUCAAAAUUAAAAGGGUAAGGAACAAAAAAAAUAGAAAUGGUUUUGUUUAGCGGAUCCUUUCUUUGGAGAACAACUAGGAGUAAAAGAACGCAUUUAAUAAAAAAUCCGCAAAUUGGUAGUACUGCAAUCCCGCAGCUAUUGUUCUCAAUAGCUUGUAUGAUUCAUUGACAAAUAAUUGUACAAAAUAAACACAAAGCAAUAAAAUAUGAAUUACACUG
Stomoxys calcitrans (stable fly) is the source of this 640-nucleotide long non-coding RNA. RefSeq lists it as uncharacterized. The transcript is spliced from 2 exons. Lineage: Eukaryota; Metazoa; Arthropoda; Insecta; Diptera; Muscidae. The record is from RefSeq and is a predicted model, not a curated record.